Molecule: ribosomal RNA, 575 nt
Filed under: Streptomyces canus
Lineage: Bacteria; Bacillati; Actinomycetota; Actinomycetes; Kitasatosporales; Streptomycetaceae
Description: bacterial SSU rRNA
Rfam family: Bacterial small subunit ribosomal RNA
Source: RNAcentral
CGAUGAACCACUUCGGUGGGGAUUAGUGGCGAACGGGUGAGUAACACGUGGGCAAUCUGCCCUUCACUCUGGGACAAGCCCUGGAAACGGGGUCUAAUACCGGAUACCACUACCGCAGGCAUCUGUGGUGGUUGAAAGCUCCGGCGGUGAAGGAUGAGCCCGCGGCCUAUCAGCUUGUUGGUGAGGUAAUGGCUCACCAAGGCGACGACGGGUAGCCGGCCUGAGAGGGCGACCGGCCACACUGGGACUGAGACACGGCCCAGACUCCUACGGGAGGCAGCAGUGGGGAAUAUUGCACAAUGGGCGAAAGCCUGAUGCAGCGACGCCGCGUGAGGGAUGACGGCCUUCGGGUUGUAAACCUCUUUCAGCAGGGAAGAAGCGAAAGUGACGGUACCUGCAGAAGAAGCGCCGGCUAACUACGUGCCAGCAGCCGCGGUAAUACGUAGGGCGCAAGCGUUGUCCGGAAUUAUUGGGCGUAAAGAGCUCGUAGGCGGCUUGUCACGUCGGGUGUGAAAGCCCGGGGCUUAACCCCGGGUCUGCAUUCGAUACGGGCUAGCUAGAGUGUGGUAGGGGAG